UAAGGCAUUUCUUAGAUGAUCU
This 22-nucleotide microRNA is filed under the name Drosophila ananassae. RNAcentral describes it as "Dan-Novel-8_3p (mature (guide))". Lineage: Eukaryota; Metazoa; Arthropoda; Insecta; Diptera; Drosophilidae. The record is from RNAcentral.